RNAcentral lists this transfer RNA (73 nucleotides) under Canis lupus familiaris (dog). It matches the Rfam family "tRNA". Rfam says of the family: Transfer RNA (tRNA) molecules are approximately 80 nucleotides in length. Their secondary structure includes four short double-helical elements and three loops (D, anti-codon, and T loops). The record is from Rfam by way of RNAcentral. Lineage: Eukaryota; Metazoa; Chordata; Mammalia; Carnivora; Canidae. RNAcentral also lists the same sequence under 1 other name.
ACCUGACUGGCUCAGUUGGCAGAGCAUGUGAUUCUUGAUCUCAGGGUUGUGAGUUCAAGCCUCACAUUGAGUG